AGUUGACAGACACACACUGGCAGGGCCGCUGGCUGAUCCUUAGCAAUCCUUGCAUGUGGCAUUUAGGAAAGAAAUGACGGCUUCUGCCCGGCCUUUGCAGGGCACUUGUGUGCGAGUGAAGACGAGUGACGGGGAUGAACUAUCUUUGCUGAAAAGGUUAGCGGAUGUGCAUCAGCAUGGAAAAACAAUCCAGGAUUCGAGGAAGAAAGGAAGUCUCAAGUUUGGGAUGACAUAAGCAUCACAAAUGAAGAAACUUUGCGUAAUUUCAGAGCAGAUUUGUAAUGCCAUGAAGGUGAGUAAAUAAAGACAAUUUUCAUUUUUGAGUGUACUAUCCCUUUAAACACACACACAAACAGCUAUUGUUACACACACAGACUGUCCACAAUCUUUAGGACUGAAAACACAUUUACAGUCCCAAUAGCUUUACAUUUGACAGCUCGAAUUUGACAGCCCCCCUCCCCAUCCUAUCGACAGACACUUUCCCCCCUUGAGACGCUUUUACCUAAUGCUCAAACAUGUCUCAUAUGCAUCCUCACAUUAUCGGGGUUAUGGAGGCGUGAGCCUGCCUGAACGCGGCCCUCCCAUUUUCCGUUUUGUCGUGCCUAACCCAGCCUCCCCCCGCCGCGCUCCAGUAUGAAGUAAUGGGAUGCUAUUGAAGACGCUGCCUUUGAUGUCUGGAAGCAGAUGGGCAGAUGGGGAGAGCUGCGUGCUGACAGGUAUCUCUCUCGUCGUGUCUGAAGUCCAGAGGGAAAGAGACACACACUGAAGGAGACUGCGCUGAUUGUUCUGGCAAGUGUUUUGACUCCUCACCUCACUUCACCUGAAAUUAAACCCUGCCAACGAGACAUUUAGACGCUGAUGUUAGCCAAAUUAGCCUCCUACAGAUACUGGCGCUCAUUUAUGGCCUUUCUGCUGAUUAUAAUUUCCCCCACUGUCUUCACUCACGUAUGCCCAUUUGUCACGGAUUUGCUUCUUGUAUGGUUUGGCAUUCACGUCCAGGAGUUUCCUUGAGUCUUAAAUAAAAAGUUUCUUCCACA
Sinocyclocheilus anshuiensis is the source of this 1037-nucleotide long non-coding RNA. RefSeq lists it as uncharacterized. Lineage: Eukaryota; Metazoa; Chordata; Actinopteri; Cypriniformes; Cyprinidae. The record is from RefSeq and is a predicted model, not a curated record. The transcript is spliced from 4 exons.